This 75-nucleotide small RNA is filed under the name Xanthomonas bromi. RNAcentral's name for it is "sX9 sRNA". It matches the Rfam family "Xanthomonas sRNA sX9". The record is from RNAcentral. Lineage: Bacteria; Pseudomonadati; Pseudomonadota; Gammaproteobacteria; Lysobacterales; Lysobacteraceae.
AUGGACCAAUCGUCCACUCUGGUUCCUGUGCGCCGUCCAUGCGCACCUGAUGGCUGCUCGCUGAGGUUUGUCGCA